Molecule: long non-coding RNA, 246 nt
Filed under: Capsicum annuum
Lineage: Eukaryota; Viridiplantae; Streptophyta; Magnoliopsida; Solanales; Solanaceae
Description: long non-coding RNA (CANN_LNC021135)
Source: RNAcentral
AGUGUAUCUUGUGGUUUGCUGUUGUUUGUGAAAGUUUAUGCUUUGCUUUCGUUUGGACUUGUUAAAUAUCCAAGUACGACAUUCAAUUAUGUGUUUGGUGAGUCUUAAGAUGUGGGAUUAGGAGUCAAUGGAUUAUUUAGUUGUCAGAGGAAGCAUAUCUUUCGAGGACUUGUCAGAUUUAACGUAGAGCUUGGAUUCUUUGUUUGUUCGAGUAAAGUUGCAAGUAUCAGUUUUUAGCUAGAGCCU